Molecule: long non-coding RNA, 376 nt
Filed under: Lathyrus oleraceus (garden pea)
Lineage: Eukaryota; Viridiplantae; Streptophyta; Magnoliopsida; Fabales; Fabaceae
Description: Pisum sativum (pea) long non-coding RNA (PSAT_LNC015034)
Source: RNAcentral
UGUUAACCCCGUUUGAGCUUGUACCCUUUGUUUGUAUGUAUAACCACAUGAAUGUAACCCGCGACCCAAACACUUCCUUACCCUGUCCAAAGAAAAUGUUAUGUUCUUUAAGUUGUGUUAAAUUCUAAGUUUGGGGUAACCCCAUAAGUAUCUGAAAGUAAGGUGAGUGCAGAAAAAGAUUAAGAAUAACGACCAUAAAAAAAAGAAAAAGAAAAAGAAACUCGAUGGAACGAGAAAAGCACUCACCGAAUGAGAACCACUCAGUUGGGUAUAAAAAGAAGAGAAAAAAAAGAGCUAAGUAAUAGAAUUGAAAAAGAAAAGAAUUGGAAAUGAGAUGUAGAACAAACACAGUGAAAAGAAUAACGACAUUGACUCU